Long non-coding RNA from Anolis carolinensis (green anole), 1556 nucleotides. RefSeq lists it as uncharacterized. The record is from RefSeq and is a predicted model, not a curated record. NCBI's taxonomy places the organism in Eukaryota, Metazoa, Chordata, Lepidosauria, Squamata, Anolidae. The transcript has 2 exons.
UCAAGUCUUGAGGCAUAAAUCUAUUUUCUUUGUGGUGUAUGUAUGAUUGGCUGAGUCCAUUCAAAACCUGUGCCUUGAAUCUUCUGCAUUGCAGUUUUAGAGCCGAGCAGGGGCCUGCAAAGAGGGGAAAUUGGAUAAAAUAUCCCAAAUGGCUCUAGCCAGAUUCCUUGCUGUGAGUCUUCUCUGGCUUCUUUAUGCUCUUGCCAAGAAUAACCCCAAAGAUCCAAGGAGAGGGAAGCUAGUGAGGCAGAGGCUGGAUGCAGACCCAGCUUCCUCUCCACUCAGCAGGGAGCGAAAGACACAAGUCCCAAACUUCAGUGCUGCCCUUGGCUUCCAGAAGGAUUCACCAGCAGCCAAAGUCAUUGGUGGUGGGCACGGCUAAUAAGCCUCUCCUUUUUUCCUUUCUAGUUGGGCUUUGAUCUUCAAAUAUGUGCACUGAAGAUGCUUUGAAGCACACGGUUGGAAGGAAGGGAAGGGGAGUAGGUGAUGAAAAGGAACAAAGGAAAUGUCUGUGGAGGACAGAGCACAGGGGCUCAGAAUACAGAGAGAUAUCUCAUCAAUACAGGAAUUUUGAAAGUUUGUACAACUUGAGCUUUUCUGAGUGAUGCAGUAAGGAGGGAGGAAGAGCAAGCAGGAGGAUACUUAAGAUGAUGAUGGGCUGCUGGUGAUGCUGUGUCUCUACAAUAGUUUGAAUUGAUGGCUACCAUUGUAUUCUGGGGAUCUCUAUGCUGUCCUGUAAAAUAUGUUCCUAAGGAAAUGAGAUUAAGUACCUCAAAGAUUAUUUGUUUUAUUUUGCUGUGAAUCUUAACAGGGGAGACAAGCUUUUUCUAUUUCAAAAGAAGGUACAGAUGAGGACAUGUUCACCCCUGAACUAGACAAGACAGCACAGGCAACCCAUUGUCACUCUUGGCUCAUGGGGAUGAAUAGGGAAGUAAUAACUGUAGCUCUGAAGUCACUCCUGGGCAAUAUCCAAACUUCCAACGAGAAGCUGCUAAACCAUCUUGUGAAGCCAUGAAAUUAAGGCGCUAAAAGGACAGUAACAAUCAGGCUCCAUGACAACAUUUCCCAGCACCCUUGUGGUUUCUUAGGAGACAGGAAAGCAUCUUUCCAAAAUUGCUGCCUCAGUGACUUGUAAAAUGCCUCAUUGAUCACUGCUGGGGUGUAUGAAGCCAAGAUGAAGACUGGCUGUGCAGAGAUUCACAACAGAAUAAUUUCUUCUCCAAUAAGGCAUGGCUGAGUGUACUGCUAAUUGCCACGAGUCAAGGAACAAACUGAUAUGGCUUUUUAACAUGAUACACUUCCCCCUACUGAUUUUUUUUUUUUUAGCUUACUGCUUCCCAUGUGAAUCCCAGCAAAACUUUUAUGGUUAAGAGUUUCAGCUGCCUAUGAGAGGAACCUCAGUGUUCAGGGCAAAAUACAGGGAGGCUAUGGAGUAAAUGGUUUCAAUCUUGUGACCCAAAAAUUUAAAUUUUAUAACCAGAAGUAAGAAAAGAAAAUAUGUAGUUUUGCUUAAUUCAAAAAGAACCAGCUGGGAAAUAUAAUGUUUGUUCUAUUUU